AGUGAACGCUGGCGGUAGGCCUAACACAUGCAAGUCGAACGGCAGCACAGUAAGAGCUUGCUCUUACGGGUGGCGAGUGGCGGACGGGUGAGGAAUACAUCGGAAUCUACUUUUUCGUGGGGGAUAACGUAGGGAAACUUACGCUCAUACCGCAUACGCCCUACGGGUGAAAGCAGGGGAUCUUCGGACCUUGCGCGAUUGAAUGAGCCGAUGUCGGAUUAGCUAGUUGGUGGGGUAGUGGCUUACCAAGGCUUUGACGGGUAGCCGGCCUGAGAGGGUGACCGGCCACAUUGGGACUGAGAUACGGCCCAGACUCCUACGGGAGGCAGCAGUGGGGAAUAUUGCACAAUGGGCGGAAGCCUGAUGCAGCAACGCCGCGUGCGGGAUGACGGCCUUCGGGUUGUAAACCGCUUUCGCCUGUGACGAAGCGUGAGUGACGGUAAUGGGUAAAGAAGCACCGGCUAACUACGUG
RNAcentral lists this ribosomal RNA (472 nucleotides) under uncultured bacterium. RNAcentral's name for it is "partial 16S ribosomal RNA". It matches the Rfam family "Bacterial small subunit ribosomal RNA", at positions 29 to 507 of the family's 1533-position model. The record is from RNAcentral.